RNAcentral lists this long non-coding RNA (297 nucleotides) under Mytilus galloprovincialis (Mediterranean mussel). The record is from RNAcentral. Lineage: Eukaryota; Metazoa; Mollusca; Bivalvia; Mytilida; Mytilidae.
CACUCAUAACCAAACAUCAACAUUACACCAACACACAGACACUUUCUUAAUGCCUACAUUAUAUUCCGUCGCAAUUAGAGUUCUUGAAUUUUUUUCCCCUUUGUAGUCCUAAGAAAAUCUGCUGGUCCUCACAAUUAUUUGUAUUGCAAAACACCACAAUUUUGUCGGUGCUUGCUUUGCAAAAUUUUGGUCACAAAGUCUUCGGACACCCACUUUUCGAGAACUCUGCUUAAUUCUUUGAAGUAUUUAUUUUCUUAUAAAUCUUUGAAAGUAUAUAUAAAAAGAAUGAAAUAGGUG